This 263-nucleotide ribosomal RNA is filed under the name uncultured archaeon. RNAcentral describes it as "partial 16S ribosomal RNA". It matches the Rfam family "Archaeal small subunit ribosomal RNA", at positions 748 to 1008 of the family's 1478-position model. The record is from RNAcentral.
AGGGUGUAAACGCUGCAGACUUGGUGUUGGAAAUCCUUCGAGGGUAUUCAGUGCCGGAGAGAAGUUGUUAAGUCUGCUACUUGGGGAGUACGUCCGCAAGGAUGAAACUUAAAGGAAUUGGCGGGGGGAGCACCGCAACGGGAGGAGCGUGCGGUUUAAUUGGAUUCAACACCGGAAAACUCACCAGGGGAGACUGUUACAUGAAACCCAGACUAAAUGAUCUUGGUUGAUUUUCAGAGAGGAGGUGCAUGGCGUCAGUGACU